This is a long non-coding RNA of Equus quagga, 1074 nucleotides long. RefSeq lists it as uncharacterized. The transcript is spliced from 5 exons. Lineage: Eukaryota; Metazoa; Chordata; Mammalia; Perissodactyla; Equidae. The record is from RefSeq and is a predicted model, not a curated record.
CACGUGGCCCAUGUAGGGACACAAGGUGUGGGCCCUCCUGUGGCCAUGAUGUUAAGGCCACACCUGCUUAUGACAGACAGGAAGGGAGCAUGGAGCCGUGACUUCAGGGGUUGCGUAAGACUGCAACAGGAAGGGGCUUGCUCUCUGACUUUCACUGUGAACGUUCCACUUCAACAAAAUAUUGGAUAUGGAUUAUUUGUGUCAACAAGAACCACAAGUGACACAAGUCAGCAAGUCUGGGCUCCUAAAGGGGUAAGUUAUGCAAAACUUCCUUUCUGAGCAACAUCUUCUCCAGAAGCCUGUGUGCAUUAGUCACGUCCCCUUUCACUCCCGUGGUACCGCAGCCUCCUCUGCAGAGACUGGACCCUGAGCUGACAGACAGUCAGCCAUGCCUCCCCUGGGCCACCGGCCUCCGGCCAAACCAAGACAUGCAGUGGAGGUGGACUGGACAGCUCCACGUCGUCUGGAACUCUGGAUUGCAACCCCAACUUGGAAGGGCACUUCCUGUGCUUUUGGCACGAGUCACCUCACCUUGCUGGGCUUGUCUGUAACACAGCCGGCAGGGCUCGCGGCUGGGCUGCUGCCCAGGAUGCUUUUCUACCCGGAGACUGUGAUUCAGAGCUGGCAGUGAAUUCGGCUGGGAGGCCUGCCCCAGUGCCAUCAUUUAAGGGAAGCCCAUUGUGACAGCCAAGUUAAAAAGGGAAACAUGAAUUUCUGAGUCCCCGCCGGGUUCCUGGAACUUGCCUCUUUGAGACUUGUCUUCCUGAUCUCUAAAGCGGGGGCAGCACUUCUCAUGGCUCUUGGGAACUUAGAAUGAGCUUGUGACCUUGGGAUAAUAAUGUGUCCUCACUUGGUGGAUGUGAAAAUGCAGGGAGGAAAGCCACACAGCCAGGAAAUAGCCUUCAUGCGCUGUCUGUAUGUUUACCGUGUGCCUUCCCGGGGCAGACACUGUGCUGGGUUCUGAGGAUGGAGUGAUGCUGGACCCAGGUGCAGCCCCACCUGAGAAGUGCCCACAGCAUCCACUGCUGGGAGCUCAGGGGCCCCUGCUCACCGCAACUCCGGAGCCUGAGGCAA